Molecule: ribosomal RNA, 253 nt
Filed under: uncultured bacterium
Lineage: Bacteria
Description: partial 16S ribosomal RNA
Rfam family: Bacterial small subunit ribosomal RNA
Source: RNAcentral
UACGAAGGGGGCUAGCGUUGUUCGGAAUUACUGGGCGUAAAGCGCACGUAGGCGGCUUUCCAAGUUGGAGGUGAAAUCCCCGGGCUUAACCCGGGAACUGCCUCCAAAACUGAAAGGCUAGAGUCCGAGAGAGGUGAGUGGAAUUUCCAGUGUAGAGGUGAAAUUCGUAGAUAUUGGAAAGAACACCAGUGGCGAAGGCGGCUCACUGGCUCGGUACUGACGCUGAGGUGCGACAGCGUGGGGAGCAAACAGG